AUGGCUCGCCGUCACCACCUCCUCCUCCUCCUCCCUCUCCUCGCGCUCGCCUUCUCCUUCGUCGCCGCCGCCCCUGAGGGACAGGGAGAUGCCGCCGCCUUCAUCGACGGCGCGUCGCACCGCUACCUGCGGGAUCAGCAGGGCGACCAGGCCACGUCGAUGUCACUUGAUGAAGUUUCCGCAGCUGUUUCUGUCUUGCUUGGUUUUGCACCACCUGCCAUGCUUCCCGCGCCUUCUUCUGCAAAGUUAAACGAGCUGCUACUCCCAAAGCCAUUUGACAGGCCUCGUGCUGUUUUCUUGAUGCAAAUUGAUGGGUCCCAUGACUCUGUCGAUAGCUUCGUAUCUGAUGCCGGUAGUAUUUACAAAACCAAGAUUGAUGUUGCAAAAAAUGCUGCUACAGGGCUUACAGAUAGGGAUGAAUUGAUUGUCAUUCGUUCAGAUGAAUCUUCUGGAUCAGAUGUUCUUGAUAAUGAACUCACCAACUUGGCAACCUGGUUGGAGGGAUCCUAUCAGAAGGCUGAUAGCAAAUUAAUCAUCCCAUUGAAGAGUGGAAACAGUCUUACUUUGCUCCUCAAUAAGGAAGUAGACGUUGAAUUUGCAUCCAGCUUGAUCUCCCUUCUCAAAACCAUCAAAAGGGGUAUUCAGGUUCACGAAGAUUUCUCAGGAGGCAUUGUGAGCCCUGCAGAGUUAUUAGUAUGCCACUUCACGGGCAUUAAGGCUCUGGAAGAUGAAUAUGGUUCCGCAGAAAUUGUCAAGCAGGGAGUGGAAGUAGUUCAAACAGCUCUCACCAAAGCAUUUGAUCAAUUGCAGGGAGCAUAUAAUGGGAAAAUUGUUGGGCUGGUAAUAUCCACCAAGGAGGCUUCAACAUCCUUGGCAUCCAUCAUCGAUGCACCGUCUUCAUUGCAUAUCUCAAGACGGCUUGCAGAAGCAUCUAAAACUAAUGCUACAGCUUCUAUAGCUGCUAUAUAUCUUGUUAGAUUGAGUCUUGCAUGGAUUACAGGGAUCAUCUUUCUUGUGUCAACUCUCAUUGGGAUUUGCCUGCUCAUGAACAUGCCGCUUACCAGGGACACGCUCCUCUAUUCGAAUGUCAAGAUGGAUUAG
This 1101-nucleotide ribosomal RNA is filed under the name Triticum aestivum (bread wheat). RNAcentral describes it as "partial small subunit ribosomal RNA". The record is from RNAcentral. Lineage: Eukaryota; Viridiplantae; Streptophyta; Magnoliopsida; Poales; Poaceae.